GUAGGGUGCGAGCGUUAAUCGGAAUUACUGGGCGUAAAGCGUGCGCAGGCGGUUUUGUAAGCCAGAUGUGAAAUCCCCGGGCUUAACCUGGGAAUGGCAUUUGGGACUGCAAGGCUGGAGUGUGGCAGAGGAGACUGGAAUUCCUGGNGUAGCAGUGAAAUGCGUAGAUAUCAGGAGGAAUACCGAUGGCGAAGGCAGGUCUCUGGGCUGACACUGACGCUCAUGCACGAAAGCGUGGGGAGCAAACAGGAUUAGAUACCCUGGUAGUCCACGCCCUAAACGAUGUCGACUGGUUGUUGGGGGUUUGACACUCUCAGUAACGAAGCUAACGCGUGAAGUCGACCGCCUGGGGAGUACGGCCGCAAGGUUA
This 370-nucleotide ribosomal RNA is filed under the name uncultured bacterium. RNAcentral's name for it is "bacterial SSU rRNA". It matches the Rfam family "Bacterial small subunit ribosomal RNA", at positions 527 to 896 of the family's 1533-position model. The record is from RNAcentral.